Molecule: ribosomal RNA, 404 nt
Filed under: Fusobacteriota bacterium
Lineage: Bacteria; Fusobacteriati; Fusobacteriota
Description: Fusobacteria bacterium partial 16S ribosomal RNA
Rfam family: Bacterial small subunit ribosomal RNA
Source: RNAcentral
UGGGGAAUAUUGCACAAUGGAGGGAACUCUGAUGCAGCGACGCCGCGUGAGUGAUGAAGGAUUUCGUUUCGUAAAACUCUGUUCUAUGGGAAGAAAAGGACUGUACCAUAGGAGAAAGCUCCGGCUAAAUACGUGCCAGCAGCCGCGGUAAUACGUAUGGAGCGAGCGUUGUCCGGAAUUAUUGGGCGUAAAGGGUGCGCAGGCGGCUUUACAAGUUGGAUGUGAAAUAUUGUGGCUCAACCACAAACGUGCAUCCAAAACUGCAAAGCUUGAGUUAAGGAGAGGUAAGUGGAAUUCCUGGUGUAGCGGUGGGAUGCGUAGAUAUCAGGAGGAAUACCGGUGGCGAAGGCGACUUACUGGACUUAAACUGACGCUCAGGCACGAAAGCGUGGGGAGCAAACAGG